GUGAAUACAAGAUUUUUAACUUCAUAGAGAUUUAAACCCCACAUACAAACAUCGAGAUCUAGUACCACACAGGAACACUUAGAAGGAUCCUACGCUACCCAAUCUAGACGAUGUUGUAUUUUUCACCACAAUGAAACGAAUCCAUCCCACGACCCCAGAUGAACCAUCUCUUGCACCACCUAAUUCUACCACUAAAAAACCAAGAUUACAAACUUACUUCAAAACCAAACCAGAAAACCCCUAUUUUAAGAGACUAAUGAAGAUCACAAACAGGCGGCACCAAAUGAUUGGACUGAUAAAGCAUGGCCACCCGUUUCAACACCAAAGGUGCAUACUCUCAAUUUAGAAGCUUUCGGUAGGCUGAAGACAAGAGUUCGAAUCUGGCCAAGGAUCGUGAAGAUCAUAACCACUUGAGACCAUAACCAGAGGCUAGUGGACUAAGUGGAAUCUAUCAAAAUCCCAAAAGAUCGGGUUGAGGAGUCGGCACCAGCUAAGAUCCAGCUUGAGACCUGCUGCACAAAAGAGGAAGCACAUCUACCAUGUAUGACUAUCAAUGCGGUACUGCGAAUGAUCUGCUACCAAACGUGCAAGCAACAGAGUCUCAAAAUCUCCCGUAGACCAAGCGGAAUCAAAUGAGACUCAGCACGUUCUGCCUCUGAGAACCAGAGAACAGCUUUGCUUGCAGGGAACCAGAUCGCCGCUAUCGAAGCCCCGCUUGUCCACUGUGAAGUGUCUAUCUUCUGUUCUCCGACAAGACCAUAGACGAUCCAUUCCGGUUUCUAGAAGAGAUAAAACAUCACGCUCCUCUUGAGCCAGUCUGGCCAGCACACGCUCGCCAUAUGCACUCCGGGAACGUCUCUGAAGAGGGAGAUCUUCAAAGCUCACCUGGGCGAGAUCCGGGCAAAUGAGCUAUCCAACCACCGAGUCUGCUCCACUCGCCCCUACACGCGCCCCUCUCCCGUCGGAUCUGAACUGCAAACGUCCACCCUAGUCCGGCUUUUAGAUCUACAAGGAAGGGACAAGAAACGAAGCUACGCGCCUCCAUCACAGAGUUGAGAGCCGACAAAUCAAAACGGAAAACGAUUGUCGAGCUUCCUCAACGAACCCUAAACGCCGACCCUUCCCGGAGCUAUCUCUUCACUCGACUCGCUGGCGUUCCAAAGAUCCUUCUUCUGGCUACCUAGCUAUGCUCCGCCGCGGACAAAGCACCACUUGGAGCCUUCACUGAAACUCAGAAUCACGUUGCAUAUCGCCGAGGAGGGAGACAACCACCGAGAGGGCAAAUAAAAAGGAGAAGGGAAGAAGAAGAAGAGACCUCCGACACCGGGAGAGGGCACCGGCUG
Molecule: long non-coding RNA, 1343 nt
Filed under: Brassica rapa (field mustard)
Lineage: Eukaryota; Viridiplantae; Streptophyta; Magnoliopsida; Brassicales; Brassicaceae
Description: long non-coding RNA (BRAP_LNC003446)
Source: RNAcentral